AGUGAACGCUGGCGGUAGGCCUAACACAUGCAAGUCGAACGGCAGCACAGUAAGAGCUUGCUCUUACGGGUGGCGAGUGGCGGACGGGUGAGGUAUACAUCGGAAUCUACUUUUUCGUGGGGGAUAACGUAGGGAAACUUACGCUAAUACCGCAUACGACCUACGGGUGAAAGCAGGGGAUCUUCGGACCUUGCGCGGUUGAAUGAGCCGAUGUCGGAUUAGCUAGUUGGCGGGGUAAAGGCCCACCAAGGGGACGAUCCGUAGCUGGUCUGAGAGGAUGAUCAGCCACACUGGAAGUGAGACACGGUCCAGACGCCUACGGGAGGCAGCAGUGGGGAAUGUUGGACAAAGGGCGCAAACCUGAUCCAGCCAUACCGCGUGUGUGAAGAAGGCCUUCGGGUUGUAAAGCCCUUUUGUUGGGAAAGAAAAGCAGCAGGUUAAUACCCCGCUGUUCUGACGGUACCCAAAGAAUAAGCACCGGCUAACUUCGUG
Molecule: ribosomal RNA, 492 nt
Filed under: uncultured bacterium
Lineage: Bacteria
Description: partial 16S ribosomal RNA
Rfam family: Bacterial small subunit ribosomal RNA
Source: RNAcentral